GCGUGUGGGAUGACGGCUCUAGGAUUGUAAACCUCUUUCAGGAGGGAAGAAAAUGACGGUACCUCCACAAGAAUGCCCCGGCCAACUACGUGCCAGCAGCCGCUGUAAUACGUAGGGGGCGAGCGUUGUCCGGAUUUAUUGGGCGUAAAGAGCUCGUAGGCGGUUCAACAAGUCGGUCGUGAAAGUUUAGGGCUUAACCCUGAAAUGUCGAUCGAUACUGUUGUGACUAGGAUAUGGUAGAGGUGAGUGGAAUUCCGAGUGUAGCGGUGAAAUGCGUAGAUAUUCGGAGGAACACCAAUUGCGAAGGCAGCUCACUGGACCACUAUCGACGCUGAGGAGCGAAAGCUAGGGGAGCAAACAGGAUUAGAUACCCUGGUAGUCCUAGCUGUAAACGAUGGAUACUAGAUGUAGGAAUUGGAUUGACGAUUUCUGUAUCGUAGCUAACGCGUUAAGUAUCCCGCCUGGGGAGUACGGUCGCAAGACUA
This 485-nucleotide ribosomal RNA is filed under the name uncultured Actinomycetes bacterium. RNAcentral's name for it is "bacterial SSU rRNA". It matches the Rfam family "Bacterial small subunit ribosomal RNA", at positions 399 to 896 of the family's 1533-position model. The record is from RNAcentral. Lineage: Bacteria; Bacillati; Actinomycetota; Actinomycetes.